CUACGAAAGGUGCAAGCGUUGUUCGGAUUUACUGGGCGUAAAGAGAGUGUAGGUUGUUUAUUAAGUCGGAUGUGAAAUCCCGGGGCUCAACCUCGGAACUGCAUUCGAUACUGAUAGGCUAGAGUUUGGGAGGGGUAAGCGGAAUUCCGUGUGUAGCAGUGAAAUGCGUAGAUAUACGGAGGAACACCUGAGGCGAAGGCGGCUUACUGGACCAAUACUGACACUGAGACUCGAAAGCGUGGGUAGCAAACAGGAUUAGAAACCCUAGUAGUCC
Molecule: ribosomal RNA, 274 nt
Filed under: uncultured bacterium
Lineage: Bacteria
Description: partial 16S ribosomal RNA
Rfam family: Bacterial small subunit ribosomal RNA
Source: RNAcentral